This 1257-nucleotide long non-coding RNA is filed under the name Felis catus (domestic cat). Its description in RNAcentral is "lncRNA (ENSFCAG00000046961.1)". Lineage: Eukaryota; Metazoa; Chordata; Mammalia; Carnivora; Felidae. The record is from RNAcentral.
AUGCGGUCCACAAAGGUGGUCUUUGUGAGACGUGACGACACGCCGGUAUCUGUUACAGAAUUGGCAGGUUCAGCGCUUCCCCUAGUGUCUGCUUCUGAAAUACUAAACUCAUCUGGGUUGCAAGGCACGACUCAAGGAAACAAGUGUCAAGAUCAGAGAGAAUCUCAUAGGAUUCAUUCACUUCUUCGAAUGUGGUUUAAAGGACAAGUGAAUCCUGCAACAGCUGAUCUUUAAGGAAGACUUGUCUUUUUCAAAUGGCAGGCACAGAGUGACUGGUAGCAGGAAACUAGGAGAGAAUGGAGAUAGAGGGUCACAAAGUAUAGAAAAGCAAGGUGAGCCCUAAAAGGUUGAGAUCAGAUGUUUGGAAUUGAUUUGAAACAACAUAAAAGUCUAAACAUAUAUGAGCGUAAAGUAUCUGUUCUCAGGACCUGCCUAGAACAUUUAUUGAAGCUAGGAUUUAUGAACAUGGCAAAAGAGUUAAAAGAAAUGAGCCCAUGAUAUGAUUAAUACAUUUUGUUUAUAUGAAUAAUUUAGGUAUAAAUAUAUUCAUGAAUUUUUAAUUACUAUAAAGUGGAAUUUGGAUAUUACAUGACAGUUCUCUCUCUUUAAAGAAUUGGUGGUUGCCCUUGGUCAUUCUGGUAGCGAAAAUUGGAAGCCUCCUUUUAAGUGCCUAUUUUCACUCACAGUUAUUCUCAGCCUAAUUUAGUUUUUCAAAAUGAUUUUUAGGAAUAACCAGUGGAAAUCAGUGUCAUCAUUGCUUUGCUUCCAUCAAUGAUCACUGCAGAUUUCUAUCUACUGUUACCUAGGCUGUAGCUAUAGUUGAUAGAUAGUCAUCAUAAACAGUAGAGUCCAAAGGCAAAGUCAGACCCAGGGCUCUUGAACUCCUUAAAUUAAUUUCCUGCCUUUCUGGACUAAUGCACAUGCUACUAUUCAGGAGCUCUGUAUUAUCCAAAAGCCCCUUCUUAAUUUGUGAUAGUUAGGAGGUUCCUCCACUCUUAGGUUCCUUUGUCUUUCCAAUGUCAUCUUGUCUGUAUCACAAGAAAGUUCUCAAAAAUUCAAACUGUUGAUAGCACCACUACUUUCUCUCCUUAAUGCUAUUAUUGAUUUUGUUUUUUGACGUUCAAAUAUGGUCUGUCCUUUCGAAUAACUUUCAGUGCAAGGUGAUACCAAGUUGUGGACUUUAUUGGCCAGCAUGAUAUAGAAGUUCUAAAAUUUGUACACUGUGAAACGUUCUGGCCUUUGGUAGCUUGGAAGAAA